Thalassophryne amazonica is the source of this 533-nucleotide long non-coding RNA. RefSeq lists it as uncharacterized. The record is from RefSeq and is a predicted model, not a curated record. NCBI's taxonomy places the organism in Eukaryota, Metazoa, Chordata, Actinopteri, Batrachoidiformes, Batrachoididae. The transcript has 4 exons.
ACACACACACACACACACACACACACACACACACACUCAACCAGUGUUGGGCACGUUACUUUGAAAAAGUAAUUAGUUAUAGUUACUAGUUACUUCUCCCAAAAAGUAACUGAGUUACUAACUGAGUUACUCCACUAUAAAAGUAACUAGUUACCACUAAAAGUAACUAUUGCAUUACUCGCCUCUUAGCCCCCUUCCCCCCCUUCUCAGAGUGUGUUUCAUAAGCCAGAUGCAUAGAGAGCAGGACAGCAAAGACAAGUACAUUCACAGAGCUUUGCAUUUAUUGCAACUCAACGCAAACUAUAGACAACGGAUGGACAUACAGUUCUCAAAAUAUGUUUUUAAAAAGAAAAGUACACAAUUUAACAGAGGCUCAUUUAAACUGAAUUGAAAAUGUAUAUGGAUUUGUUAAAUCUAACUUAAAGUCCAUAACAUGCAUUCAUUCAUCUUGCAUGUAUGCAAUCAUUUAUCCAACCAGCCAACCCAGUCGUCUCACCAACAGCAAAGACCUGCACAAAGGUAUUUACAUUUUG